GACGAACGCUGGCGGCGUGCUUAACACAUGCAAGUCGAACGGAAAGGCCCUGCUUUUGUGGGGUGCUCGAGUGGCGAACGGGUGAGUAACACGUGAGUAACCUGCCCUUGACUUUGGGAUAACUUCAGGAAACUGGGUCUAAUACCGGAUAGGAGCUCCUGCUGCAUGGUGGGGGUUGGAAAGUUUCGGCGGUUGGGGAUGGACUCGCGGCUUAUCAGCUUGUUGGUGGGGUAGUGGCUUACCAAGGCUUUGACGGGUAGCCGGCCUGAGAGGGUGACCGGCCACAUUGGGACUGAGAGACGGCCCAGAAUACAACGGGAGGCAGCAGUGGGGAAUAUUGCACAAUGGGCGGAAGCCUGAUGCAGCAACGCCGCGUGCGGGAUGACGGCCUUCGGGUUGUAAACCGCUUUCGCAUGUGACGAAGCGUGAGUGACGGUAAUGGGUAAAGAAGCACCGGCUAACUACGUG
This 468-nucleotide ribosomal RNA is filed under the name uncultured bacterium. RNAcentral's name for it is "partial 16S ribosomal RNA". It matches the Rfam family "Bacterial small subunit ribosomal RNA", at positions 28 to 507 of the family's 1533-position model. The record is from RNAcentral.